UACAGAGGGGGCAAGCGUUAUUCGGAAUUAUUGGGCGUAAAGGGCGCGUAGGCGGCCUGGCAAGUGGAAGGUGAAUCCCUCGGCUUAACCGAGGAACUGCCCUCCAAACUGCUUGGCUUGAGUCCGGGAGAGGUGAGUGGAAUUCCCAGUGUAGCGGUGAAAUGCGUAGAUAUUGGGAGGAACACCAGUGGCGAAGGCGGCUCACUGGACCGGAACUGACGCUGAGGCGCGAAAGCGUGGGGAGCAAACGGG
This 252-nucleotide ribosomal RNA is filed under the name uncultured bacterium. RNAcentral's name for it is "partial 16S ribosomal RNA". It matches the Rfam family "Bacterial small subunit ribosomal RNA", at positions 524 to 776 of the family's 1533-position model. The record is from RNAcentral.